GUUUUAAUAAUUUAAGUAAAAAUAUUGGUCUUGUAAAUCAAAUUUAAGAAUUUUCUUUUAAAACU
Molecule: transfer RNA, 65 nt
Filed under: Staphylinoidea sp. 13 KM-2017
Lineage: Eukaryota; Metazoa; Arthropoda; Insecta; Coleoptera
Description: tRNA-Thr
Source: RNAcentral